This 69-nucleotide transfer RNA is filed under the name Nephrotoma tenuipes. Its description in RNAcentral is "tRNA-Ser". The record is from RNAcentral. Lineage: Eukaryota; Metazoa; Arthropoda; Insecta; Diptera; Tipulidae.
AGAAACAUGAAGUUCAAGUAAAAGCUGCUAACUUUUUUCUUUAAUGGUUAAAUUCCAUUUAUGUUUCUA